This 74-nucleotide transfer RNA is filed under the name Rhizobium metallidurans. It matches the Rfam family "tRNA". From Rfam's summary of the family: Transfer RNA (tRNA) molecules are approximately 80 nucleotides in length. Their secondary structure includes four short double-helical elements and three loops (D, anti-codon, and T loops). Further hydrogen bonds mediate the characteristic L-shaped molecular structure. tRNAs have two regions of fundamental functional importance: the anti-codon, which is responsible for specific mRNA codon recognition, and the 3' end, to which the tRNAs corresponding amino acid is attached (by aminoacyl-tRNA synthetases). tRNAs cope with the degeneracy of the genetic code in two manners: having more than one tRNA (with a specific anti-codon) for a particular amino acid; and 'wobble' base-pairing, i.e. permitting non-standard base-pairing at the 3rd anti-codon position. RNAcentral also lists the same sequence under 2 other names. The record is from Rfam by way of RNAcentral. Lineage: Bacteria; Pseudomonadati; Pseudomonadota; Alphaproteobacteria; Hyphomicrobiales; Rhizobiaceae.
CGGGGCGUAGCGCAGCCCGGUAGCGCACUUGACUGGGGGUCAAGGGGUCGCAGGUUCAAGUCCUGUCGCCCCGA